This 501-nucleotide non-coding RNA is filed under the name Vairimorpha ceranae BRL01. Its description in RNAcentral is "Nosema ceranae BRL01 Eukaryotic large subunit ribosomal RNA". It matches the Rfam family "Eukaryotic large subunit ribosomal RNA", at positions 1387 to 2176 of the family's 3401-position model. Lineage: Eukaryota; Fungi; Microsporidia; Nosematidae. The record is from Rfam by way of RNAcentral.
GUGCAAUUUGUUUGUAUUGAAGUAUAUAUGUGAAUAUAUAUAGAAGAAACAAAUGAGCCGAUCUUGGAGGCAGUAACAAUAUAUUUGUAUAGAUAUUAGACUAGGGUUUUCAAUUAUUAUUGAAGUGAAUCGGUGUUAUUUUAUAAAAACAAAAAAGAUUAAUAAUUCUUUAUUAAACUAUUUUAAGGCGACUUGAUGAUGACAGUAUAUUUAUUAAUCUAAGAUAAAUGAAUUAGACUAUUUAUUUAUUAACUAUGGAUUGUCAUGAUAAGAAAUAGUUAUUUAUAUAUACUUGAUAAAAAUAUUAUAGUUUUAACCGUACCUAUACCGCAUCAGGAGUCUUUGUAUCAUAACAAAUAUUUUAAAUUAAAGUAAGUAAGGGAAUUCGGCAAAUUAGAUCUGUAACUUUGGGAUAAAGAUUGGCUCUAGCAUGCUAGAACUUUUACUAUGUAAGGAAUCUGACUGUUUAUUAAAAACAUAGCUUUUUGUAAUUACAAGAAG